Molecule: unclassified non-coding RNA, 146 nt
Organism: Macaca fascicularis (crab-eating macaque)
Lineage: Eukaryota; Metazoa; Chordata; Mammalia; Primates; Cercopithecidae
Rfam family: Metazoan signal recognition particle RNA
About the family: The signal recognition particle (SRP) is a universally conserved ribonucleoprotein. It is involved in the co-translational targeting of proteins to membranes. The eukaryotic SRP consists of a 300-nucleotide 7S RNA and six proteins: SRPs 72, 68, 54, 19, 14, and 9.
Source: Ensembl
GCUGGGAGUUGUGGCAGCCCUGUAAUCCCAGCUACUUGGGAGGCUGAGGCAUGAGAAUUGCUUGAACCCGGGAGUUUGAGGCUGCAGUGAGCUGUGAUCAUGCCACUGCACUCCAGCCUGGGUAACAGAGUGAGACUAUGUCUCAU